RNAcentral lists this ribosomal RNA (492 nucleotides) under uncultured bacterium. RNAcentral describes it as "partial 16S ribosomal RNA". It matches the Rfam family "Bacterial small subunit ribosomal RNA", at positions 28 to 507 of the family's 1533-position model. The record is from RNAcentral.
GAUGAACGCUAGCUACAGGCUUAACACAUGCCAGUCGAGGGGAAACGGCAUUAAGUGCUUGCACUUUUUGGACGUCGACCGGCGCACGGGUGAGUAACGCGUAUCCAACCUUCCCAUGACUAAGGGAUAACCUGCCGAAAGGCAGACUAAUACCUUAUGGUCUUCACUGACGGCAUCAGAUGUGAAGUAAAGAUUUAUCGGUUAUGGAUGGGGAUGCGUCUGAUUAGCUUGUUGGCGGGGUAACGGCCCACCAAGGCAACGAUCAGUAGGGGUUCUGAGAGGAAGGUCCCCCACAUUGGAACUGCGACACGGUCCAAACUCCUACGGGAGGCAGCAGUGAGGAAUAUUGGUCAAUGGGCGAGAGCCUGAACCAGCCAAGUAGCGUGCAGGAUGACGGCCCUAUGGGUUGUAAACUGCUUUUGUAUGGGGAUAAAGUCAAUCACGUGUGAUUGUUUGCAGGUACCAUACGAAUAAGGACCGGCUAAUUCCGUG